GAUAAACGCUGGCGGCGCACAUAAGACAUGCAAGUCGAACGGACUUAACCAUUAGUUUACUAUUGGAGCGGUUAGUGGCGGACUGGUGAGUAACACGUAAGCAAUCUGCCUAUCAGAGGGGAACAACAGUUAGAAAUGACUGCUAAUACCGCAUAUGCCUAAGUACCACACGGUACAAUAGGGAGAGGAGCAAUCCGCUGAUAGAUGAGCUUGCGUCUGAUUAGAUAGCUGGUGGGGUAACGGCCCACCAUGGCGACGAUCAGUAGCCGGUCUGAGAGGAUGAACGGCCACAUUGGGACUGAGAUACGGCCCAG
This 314-nucleotide ribosomal RNA is filed under the name uncultured bacterium. RNAcentral describes it as "bacterial SSU rRNA". It matches the Rfam family "Bacterial small subunit ribosomal RNA", at positions 28 to 334 of the family's 1533-position model. The record is from RNAcentral.